UGUGUGGAGGCAAGGAACUAUGC
Molecule: microRNA, 23 nt
Filed under: Monodelphis domestica (gray short-tailed opossum)
Lineage: Eukaryota; Metazoa; Chordata; Mammalia; Didelphimorphia; Didelphidae
Description: mdo-miR-7398p-5p
Source: miRBase by way of RNAcentral